GAGUGAGGAAUCACCUCCUGAAGUUUACUCAUGUAUUCAAAACUUUCAUAACUUUAUAUUAUGUUUUGCAUCUCAAUCUUUUAUCCAAUGUGCAGACUUUGAGAAGAUAGAUAUCAGCCGAGUGGAUAAGGCUGGCCACAUUGAGGAUCAAGAGACAAAAAUAAGUUUUGGUUGAUGUAGGUACUUUGAUUACAUUAAAAAUUUUCAAUAAUUCUAUGAUCUUUCAUUUAACAAACACCCAAUUUUUAAAUUAUUAAAUCCUGUUUUACUAUUCAUAAAUUAUUUGUAAUAUUUCAAAUGUGGUGCAUACCAAACGUAGUAAUCUGGUUUUUGUUGAAUUUUCUAGGUUCAAAAUAAUAAUAUUGUUGACUAAAAAAUAUCUUUCUAGCAAAAAAUGAAAGAUGGAGUUUAAAUAUAUAUUUUUGGAAUGCACCUUAAUUCAUAAGUAUCUCUUUUCAUGUAAUUUAUAAGUGAUAUAUCAUUUAUUAAUUGAUGUUGGCUAGAUACCAGCAGUUUUAGUUUCAAUUGGUAUUGUGUAUCAUUUGUUAUAUUUUUGUUUGGAAGGUAUUGAAAAAAAUUCCAACAAAUUCACUAAAACAUAAUUUGUGUGGUGUCGGCAUAUUUAGAUUUUUUAUAUGUAGUUUGAUUAGUUUUUC
This is a long non-coding RNA of Harmonia axyridis, 656 nucleotides long. RefSeq lists it as uncharacterized. The record is from RefSeq and is a predicted model, not a curated record. Lineage: Eukaryota; Metazoa; Arthropoda; Insecta; Coleoptera; Coccinellidae. The transcript is spliced from 2 exons.